GAUGAACGCUGGCGGCGUGCUUAACACAUGCAAGUCGAACGGAAAGGCCCAAGCUUGCUUGGGUACUCGAGUGGCGAGCGGGUGAGUAACACGUGGGUGAUCUGCCCUGCACUUCGGGAUAAGCCUGGGAAACUGGGUCUAAUACCGGAUAGGACCACAUUUUGGAUGGUGUGGUGGAAAGUUUUUCGGUGUGGGAUGAGCUCGCGGCCUAUCAGCUUGUUGGUGGGGUAAUGGCCUACCAAGGCGUCGACGGGUAGCCGGCCUGAGAGGGUGUACGGCCACAUUGGGACUGAGAUACGGCCCAGACUCCUACGGGAGGCAGCAGUGGGGAAUAUUGCACAAUGGGCGCAAGCCUGAUGCAGCGACGCCGCGUGGGGGAUGACGGCCUUCGGGUUGUAAACUCCUUUCGCUAGGGACGAAGCGUUAUGUGACGGUACCUGGAGAAGAAGCACCGGCUAACUACGUG
This 466-nucleotide ribosomal RNA is filed under the name uncultured bacterium. RNAcentral's name for it is "partial 16S ribosomal RNA". It matches the Rfam family "Bacterial small subunit ribosomal RNA", at positions 28 to 507 of the family's 1533-position model. The record is from RNAcentral.